CAAGAAUUCGAAUAGCUACACGAAUUGUAUUUUAUUCUGUACAGAUGAAAGAGAAGGCUGAAACACACUCGCUAGCUAGGACUCACGCAGCAAGCUCACACGAUGUCCAAGAAAUCCACUCUCUAACUCUGUGGUCGCCUUUCUUUCUAGCGUUUUCUUCUAUUUUUUAUUUGUUCUCUUCUCCAUGCGGAAUCAUGGAUCCUCUUUUCGUUGAUCAGUACACUAUUAAGGCCCGUUUUGGUAGGGCUCUUUCUCUGCUAGCUCCAGCUCUGGCUCUGGCUCCUCUAAGAAAACAACACCCUCUUUAUUUUCAGGAAG
RNAcentral lists this unclassified non-coding RNA (318 nucleotides) under Zea mays. Its description in RNAcentral is "misc RNA Zm00001eb310540". The record is from RNAcentral. Lineage: Eukaryota; Viridiplantae; Streptophyta; Magnoliopsida; Poales; Poaceae.